UCCCUGGUGGUCCAGUACUAAGACUCCCUGCUCCCAAUGCAGGGAGCCCAGGUUCAAUCCCUGGUCUGGGAA
This 72-nucleotide transfer RNA is filed under the name Ovis aries (sheep). It matches the Rfam family "tRNA". Rfam says of the family: Transfer RNA (tRNA) molecules are approximately 80 nucleotides in length. Their secondary structure includes four short double-helical elements and three loops (D, anti-codon, and T loops). The record is from Rfam by way of RNAcentral. Lineage: Eukaryota; Metazoa; Chordata; Mammalia; Artiodactyla; Bovidae.